RNAcentral lists this ribosomal RNA (1346 nucleotides) under uncultured bacterium. RNAcentral's name for it is "partial 16S ribosomal RNA". It matches the Rfam family "Bacterial small subunit ribosomal RNA", at positions 28 to 1381 of the family's 1533-position model. The record is from RNAcentral.
GACGAACGCUGGCGGCGUGCUUAACACAUGCAAGUCGAACGGAAAGGCCCUGCUUUUGUGGGGUGCUCGAGUGGCGAACGGGUGAGUAACACGUGAGUAACCUGCCCUUGACUUUGGGAUAACUUCAGGAAACUGGGGCUAAUACCGGAUAGGAGCUCCUGCUGCAUGGUGGGGGUUGGAAAGUUUCGGCGGUUGGGGAUGGACUCGCGGCUUAUCAGCUUGUUGGUGGGGUAGUGGCUUACCAAGGCUUUGACGGGUAGCCGGCCUGAGAGGGUGACCGGCCACAUUGGGACUGAGAUACGGCCCAGACUCCUACGGGAGGCAGCAGUGGGGAAUAUUGCACAAUGGGCGGAAGCCUGAUGCAGCAACGCCGCGUGCGGGAUGACGGCCUUCGGGUUGUAAACCGCUUUCGCCUGUGACGAAGCGUGAGUGACGGUAAUGGGUAAAGAAGCACCGGCUAACUACGUGCCAGCAGCCGCGGUGAUACGUAGGGUGCGAGCGUUGUCCGGAUUUAUUGGGCGUAAAGGGCUCGUAGGUGGUUGAUCGCGUCGGAAGUGUAAUCUCGGGGCUUAACCCUGAGCGUGCUUUCGAUACGGGUUGACUUGAGGAAGGUAGGGGAGAAUGGAAUUCCUGGUGGAGCGGUGGAAUGCGCAGAUAUCAGGAGGAACACCAGUGGCGAAGGCGGUUCUCUGGGCCUUUCCUGACGCUGAGGAGCGAAAGCGUGGGGAGCGAACAGGCUUAGAUACCCUGGUAGUCCACGCUGUAAACGGUGGGUACUAGGUGUGGGGUCCAUUCCACGGGUUCCGUGCCGUAGCUAACGCUUUAAGUACCCCGCCUGGGGAGUACGGCCGCAAGGCUAAAACUCAAAGGAAUUGACGGGGCCCCGCACAAGCGGCGGAGCAUGCGGAUUAAUUCGAUGCAACGCGUAGAACCUUACCUGGGUUUGACAUGGAUCGGGAGUGCUCAGAGAUGGGUGUGCCUCUUUUGGGGUCGGUUCACAGGUGGUGCAUGGCUGUCGUCAGCUCGUGUCGUGAGAUGUUGGGUUAAGUCCCGCAACGAGCGCAACCCUUGUUCACUGUUGCCAGCACGUUAUGGUGGGGACUCAGUGGAGACCGCCGGGGUCAACUCGGAGGAAGGUGGGGAUGACGUCAAGUCAUCAUGCCCCUUAUGUCCAGGGCUUCACGCAUGCUACAAUGGCUGGUACAGAGAGUGGCGAGCCUGUGAGGGUGAGCGAAUCUCGGAAAGCCGGUCUCAGUUCGGAUUGGGGUCUGCAACUCGACCUCAUGAAGUCGGAGUCGCUAGUAAUCGCAGAUCAGCAACGCUGCGGUGAAUACGUUCCCGGGGCC